CGUAAAAUUUAGUUGGUUGCCAACAAACCUUCGGAGACUAGGACUUUCACUGAAGAUUUUACAGAUAAGACUGGAGUUGCCCGUUCAUUGGGAUAUUUGAUAGUGACGAAGGAAUGGAAGACGUCGAUAGAUGUGAGGAGCAGCUUAUUGAGUAUGCCAUUCGAGAGAGUAUUCGAGAUGUAUCAAUAGACAGCAUGCCAACAGUCAGUGGUGACUUUCUGAGGAUAGUGACUGCCAUCGAGCAAGGUGAUGUGUGUACCCUGCAGGAGCUGUCUGGGUUGCAGGCUUUCACAGAGAGGGACAGCAGAGGGUG
This is a non-coding RNA of Salvelinus sp. IW2-2015, 313 nucleotides long. NCBI's taxonomy places the organism in Eukaryota, Metazoa, Chordata, Actinopteri, Salmoniformes, Salmonidae. The record is from RefSeq and is a predicted model, not a curated record.